CGCUGAGUUUGAUCCUGGCUCAGAUUGAACGCUGGCGGCAUGCCUUACACAUGCAAGUCGAACGGUAACGCGGGGCAACCUGGCGACGAGUGGCGAACGGGUGAGUAAAGCAUCGGAACGUGCCCAGUAGUGGGGGAUAGCCCGGCGAAAGCCGGAUUAAUACCGCAUACGACCUACGGGUGAAAGGGGGGAUCGCAAGACCUCUCGCUAUUGGAGCGGCCGAUGUCAGAUUAGGUAGUUGGUGGGGUAAAGGCUCACCAAGCCAACGAUCUGUAGCUGGUCUGAGAGGACGACCAGCCACACUGGAACUGAGACACGGUCCAGACUCCGUACGGGAGCAGCAGUGGGGAAUUUUGGACAAUGGACGCAAGUCUGAUCCAGCCCAUUCCCGCGUGCAGGA
RNAcentral lists this ribosomal RNA (400 nucleotides) under uncultured Ideonella sp. RNAcentral's name for it is "bacterial SSU rRNA". It matches the Rfam family "Bacterial small subunit ribosomal RNA", at positions 1 to 408 of the family's 1533-position model. Lineage: Bacteria; Pseudomonadati; Pseudomonadota; Betaproteobacteria; Burkholderiales; Sphaerotilaceae. The record is from RNAcentral.